RNAcentral lists this ribosomal RNA (448 nucleotides) under uncultured bacterium. RNAcentral describes it as "bacterial SSU rRNA". It matches the Rfam family "Bacterial small subunit ribosomal RNA", at positions 355 to 825 of the family's 1533-position model. The record is from RNAcentral.
UGGGGAAUCUUGGACAAUGGGCGCAAGCCUGAUCCAGCCAUGCCGCGUGAGUGAUGAAGGCCUUAGGGUUGUAAAGCUCUUUUUGCCGGGGACGAUAAUGACGGUACCCGGAGAAUAAGUCCCGGCUAACUUCGUGCCAGCAGCCGCGGUAAUACGAAGGGGACUAGCGUUGUUCGGAAUCACUGGGCGUAAAGCGCACGUAGGCGGAUUUGUAAGUCAGGGGUGAAAUCCCGGGGCUCAACCUCGGAACUGCCUUUGAUACUGCGGAUCUCGAGUCCGAUAGAGGUGAGUGGAAUUCCUAGUGUAGAGGUGAAAUUCGUAGAUAUUAGGAAGAACACCGGUGGCGAAGGCGGCUCACUGGAUCGGUACUGACGCUGAGGUACGAAAGCGUGGGGAGCAAACAGGAUUAGAUACCCCAGUAGUCCCUGAGCGGGCUGGCAAGGCGCAU